Non-coding RNA from Pelobates cultripes (western spadefoot toad), 241 nucleotides. The record is from the annotation of a GenBank genome assembly. NCBI's taxonomy places the organism in Eukaryota, Metazoa, Chordata, Amphibia, Anura, Pelobatidae.
GCUCAUUCCAGCCUCUCCUGUAUCUCCAUGCUGCCUCCUGUCUCAGUACUGCCUGUUCUUCAUGCUGCCUGUUCUCCAUGCUGCCUGUUCUGCUAUGCUGCCUCCAUGCUGCUGCCUUCUCCCUCCAGGGCAGGCAGCUUUCACAACUGACAGGUAAGCUUAGGUUCAGUUAAAAUGGCCACUUCACAUAAUGGCUGGUAUAAAUACUCCCCUUAUGGCUCCGCCCUACCCAGCAUGCUAG